This 359-nucleotide ribosomal RNA is filed under the name uncultured bacterium. RNAcentral's name for it is "partial 16S ribosomal RNA". It matches the Rfam family "Bacterial small subunit ribosomal RNA", at positions 338 to 694 of the family's 1533-position model. The record is from RNAcentral.
CCUACGGGAGGCAGCAGUGAUGAAUAUUGGGCAAUGGACGAGAGUCUGACGCAGCCAAGCAGCGUGAAGGAUGACUGCCCUAUGGGUUGUAAACUUCUUUUAUAUGGGAAUAAAAUGUUCCACGAAUGGUAUUUUGUAUGUACGUUAUGAAUAAGAAUCGGCUAACUCCGUGCCAGCCGCCGCGGUAAUACGGAGGAUCCGAGCGUUCUCCGGAUUUAUUUGGUUUAAAGGGAGCGUAGGUGGAUUGUUAAGUCAGUUGUGAAAGUUUGCGGCUCAACCGUAAAAUUGCAGUUGAAACUGGCAGUCCUGAGUACAGUAGAGGUGGGCGGAAUUCGUGGUGGAGCGGUGAAAUGCUUAGA